Molecule: long non-coding RNA, 332 nt
Organism: Platichthys flesus (European flounder)
Lineage: Eukaryota; Metazoa; Chordata; Actinopteri; Pleuronectiformes; Pleuronectidae
Exons: 3
Source: RefSeq, a predicted model, not a curated record
CCUCCCUUCUCCUUACUUUUUCCUGUGUCAUUGAACACAACUCGAGACUUUCGAAACCUCCCACUCAGUAUCGGAUGAAUAACACAGUUUGAUGUUUUGCUUGUUCUGCUGACGGACACGUUAAAGACGUCUGCGCUCCCGUUUCUGUGCAUGUCCAGCAUGAGACAACUGGAAUUCAACCACAUUGAACACCGACUUCAGGGACAGACGAGCCUGAAGGACACAGCUGUGAUGACCAUGUUCUGUCUCUUAUGGCAAAGCAGAAAUAUAAAACACUGGGUUCUUAUCUAAAGUGUAUCAAAUCAGAUCUCCACCAUGUUGCUGCUGAGGAC